GGAAUAAUUCAGUUUCGAAGAAGACUGUCUAAUAUGUUUCAAGUUCAGCCAGUGAAGGACCUCAUAAGCUGGUCUUAUUAUAAGAGCUCAAUUUCCUACCAUAUUUUGAAAAAAUUCAUAUAAAUUUCACAAACUUUUUUAUAUAUUAAUCCAUAAUAAAAAAAAUUUACUACAUAAAAUUAGAGGGCACGGGAGGUAAGAGCACCUCACAUUCUUGCGUGAGCUGUCCCUCAUUAUAGCACUGUUUUGAAAAAUUACAAAAUACUCUUUUGUACACAACAUGGGUAUUUUUAUAUAUUCAAUUACACAAAAUGACGUUUUUGUGUGAUACCUCACGCAAUUAUAUGCGGUGUCCCUCACCUCUCUUUUUGCCUAUUAAAUGUUAAAUGUUAACAUUUAGAUAACUUAUCCUUACAAUAUAUGCAAGCAUUAAGGCCAAUAUAGUUCCAGUUGUAAAGCACAGGGUAAGUUGAAAAGCUGUCCACAAUUGUUUGAUAAUGUACAAUGAGGAAGGAUUCAGUUUGCACUGAAGGUAACACAGGAUUAUGGGAACAAGCCCAUAAAGAAUGCAGACAGAAACAAGGAGAUAGACAGAAGCUAGUGACAGAUAAGCCCUAAAAUUAACAAAUGAUUUGUGAACCCAACUGAAAAAAAGUUUGCAGUUAAGUCUGUUCUUUUCAUAUGAAGCUACAGAUGGUCUGUAGAUAUUCGAUAUCGGUUAGAUGCAAAAUAACUUUCCUUUUAGGAGAUAAUUUUGAAAAAGAAAAAAAAAAUGCAUUAUAGGCUUUAACAUCUAUUGAUUACACGCUUCUUGAUGUCUUCUCAUAAAAACCAUCAAGAAAGGCACCUUUAGAAUGAUUAGUACUUGAUAUUCUUUGCAUCGACAAUCUCCAAAAUUCUUAAUGAUGGAUCCUCGUCAAAUUUAUUCCUGAUUUACAGUCUUGUGAUGAUAUCAGACUCAGUGUUCUAAAAGUCGGCCUAGUAGACCGACUAGUCGGCAACUAGGUCGGGGUCGGAGGCUCGCUGAGUCGACCAGGCCUUAGUCUUUGAUUUAGUCGCUAGCCGACUUUGUCGGGCUCAAGUCGGGGCAAAUCGGAACAUAUCAGGGUAAAAACAGAACAAAUGUUUGGGGCCAUAGUGUAAUUUAUGGAUUGUGUUUAUAACUUUAAAAUUUAAACUCUACCUCUGCCGACUGCUACUGCUUCUUCUUUGAAAAAAAAAAUUGAUCGACCGACGACUGCUAUUGCUUCUUCUUCGACCGACGACUGCUACUGCGGUUACUUCUCCUUCUUUGACUGUUGCUGCCGACGACGAUUGCUACCGACUGCCGACGACUGCGUAGCAGACGACGACGACGAAGACUACCGACUGGUGCUCGCCUGCUCUUUAUCUUCAUCAUCUUCGGUGAUCAGGUAGUUCUUCUUCUCCGGCUCGUCUCUCUCUCUCUCUCUCAGUUUCUCUAUUUUUUUAUAAAUAGUUUACAAUCAACAGAAUACUGAUACAAGGCUUAUAAGGCAUAAGCAGUUUGUCAGCAAACUGGCAAAAUUUUUUUUUUUUUUGGUUUUAGUUAAUUAGUUCCUUAGUGAGCAUUAAAGAAAAGGUUGGAUAAAUUAAAUUAGUUAAUUUUUAGUUAAUUUUUUUAGUUAAUUGUUAUAUUUCAUUUUAAUUUUUAAAUUUUUUCAACUUCAGUUAUAAAUUAAAUUAUUAAAAUCGGACUGUGGGGUUUGGAGAAAUGACUGAUUUUAUAUUUUUAUGCAUAGGUUAAUUUGGUUAAUUUGUUUUCAUGUUUUGAACUUAGAGCGUUGAAUUAUUUGAUUUUACUUAGUUUCCAUGUUUUUAUUUGAUGAUUUGUGUUACUUAUGUUAUUCUACUUACUCAAAACUUAUGAAGGAGGAAGGAGGAUAUAUAUAUUUUUUUAAAAUUGAAAAUCCGACUAGUCGAUUAAUCCUCGAUUAAUCCCCUAGUCGCUAGUCAGUAGCCAACCGACAUGGCACCGACUAGCGACUUUUAGAACACUGAUCAGACUACAACGGCUUUAACAAAUUCCGGCAAAAUCAUUAAUGCGCAAAGUCAUGAAUUCAUAGGGUUAGUUACUUUUGUCUUAAUUCAUUCUUGUACAUAGUAGUUGCAUCCUUACAACUUUCCCGUUCUGCUCAGUUUCUGACACAAAUUUGUUGCACCUUUAGCUUGUAUUCUAGACAUAUCCACCAAAAUGCAACAAUCAAAGACAACGUCUCGGGCAUGUAACAACAGAUAGUAGUAACUAGUAAGUUUAAACAUCACCAUCAUCUUCUAAUCUGGCCAUGAAAGCAUCACACCAAACAACAACUGUUUAAGUAGCCAAUUUUUUUCCAAGCAUUUACCAAAAAUCAAGGGGUUAAACACGCAGUAGAGCAAAAGAUUACUGAUAGACACAUAAUUCAUACAUUUUAUUAUCCUUUUGUUCUUUUAAUUAUAUUAGUUAAUUAAAUUAAUAUGUUUUAUUUUAUUUUGUAGAAUUCAAUAUUUGUUGCAAUAAAGUCAAAAUCUUGGUGAUCAAGCGAUAUUUAAUGCUCUUAUUCAUGUAAAGAAUAUCCAAGAAGAAUCCUGCAAGGAGAAGGAAAGAGGUGGAACAAUCUUGGUGUGUAAAUUAAAUCCAACAAGAGAAAGGAAAGUCUAUCUAAAAGAUCUAUUUGAGAAGUUGAUUGUCACUAAGAAGUUGAAACCUACAUGGAAAGGGAACAAAAGUGUCCAAGUUCAAUGAAUUUAGGGUUCAAAGUUAUUUUUCCUAUAAAUAUAAAUAGGUCUCUUGUUUUAGAGAGGAGGAAUGAUUAGGUAUUUCUAUAUUAGUUUAGGUUAGGAGUAGGAGUAGAUUAAAUUACUUCUUUAUUGUACGUUCGUUGAAUGUUCGUUAAUUAAAUGGAGUUUUCUUAUUUAUUUUUAAUCUUCUUAUUUUCUUUAUUUUAGUUAGUUUAAUUACUUUUCAUGUCUAGCUAAUUUCUUUAAUCUAGGAUGAAGAUGAAAUUAAAUAAUUAUUCAUGAUAAUAUUUUUCGUCCCUUCUAUUAUUUAUGCUUUUAUGUUUAAUUGAUUUCUCCCUCAUGUUUUGUUAUUGAAAUACCUUCGUUUUAUAGUUCUUAUGUGAUUUUAAAUAAAUUAAGAGAUUUUGAUAGAUUAUUGUUAAGAUAUGAGUUUUACAUAAUCCAUGCUUGCUCAAAGAAGUUUUGAUGGGUUAUAGUUAAUCCUUAAAUUUUCAUAGUCUAUGCUUGCCCACGUUAAUUGUAAAAUUACUAAAUUAAAGGGAAGGGAGAUCAAAAUCAUAGUUGAGUUAUAAAAAUAGAAGAGAUUGAAUUAUAUGUUAUGUUUAUUAUUUAAUGGAUUCAGAUUCCUAGAUUGUUUACUCAUUAUUUGUUUUCAUAUUCUAGUUAAUCAAUUCUCAAUCUUUAUUUCUAAUUCGCCUAAAAUAGAUAUUAAGGAAACAUUAAAAUUAAUCUAGUGGUUCGACAUGUACUUGACAGUUCUUCAAUUUGACACUGUGCACUUGCAGUUACAUAUUUUUAACACAUCAAUUACCAUUCUUUCUUCACAAAGAUGACAAAGUAAUUUAUUUUUAGGGGAUUCUUCAAUCUCUAAACAAGCAAAGAUAUUCUUCUUGCAUAUCAUUGAUAAAGAUGGGUCUAUAAUAACUUCAAAAGUGAACACUUAACUGACUUUAAUGGGAAAGUCUUGAUUCGUAACCAAUUAUACAAUGUCUUCGAUGUGUACUCACUGAAAUAUCAGGCAUUCUAGUCUUGAUACCUUACAACAAUAAAGCUUCGUAUUCGCAAUGCAGUAUUCACCAAAUUAGCAAGUAAACUCGUUUUCCGCAUAAAAUACGUACUUGGCAAACCAACUUAUAAGUCACUGCCAAACAGGCUCUUGAUCUGCUUUUAAUUUGCCAAAAAGUUCUCUAAACUUAUUAAGGGGGAAAAAUGUACCUCUUCGAGGUUUGAAAAAAACAAACAAAUCACGAGCGUUCACAAAUUAAUAAAUUUACUGCAGAUGUGUAUAAAAUAAAAAUUUGGCCCAGUGUUUUUGAACCCUUGUCCAUCAAUGUCCAACUUUGUACCUCUUGCUGAAAUGUUCUCACAAAACCAUGAUAAUCAGGUUUGUUAUUAACUAAGUAGUUCAAAAUACAAAAUUAAGUAGAAGCACAAACAGAGAAACACAAAUAAACGCGUGAAAUUGUCAAUUUUUAUUCAAUCGGAGAAUUCAAACAAUACAUAUAUUAGUGUGUACGAAUGUAAUUGAAUUGGGGAAUAUUUAGGCGCCACUCUUACCUAGAUAUGAGAAGAUCUACAGGAAAGAUUGCCGUAGCAUAGACUGAGGGUUAUGCACCGACGGUCGACGGAAGGCAGAGUCGGGUGGCGAAUUUAACUACACUUUUAAUCUGACUUUUUUCUCCUUUUGGAGGUCGAGAGGAUAUAUAUUAAAGUAUUUUAUGGAAAGUGAUGGAUUUCAAAAUAGUUUAAAUACGAUUAUAAAAAUUGUAAAUUAUUUAGACAGUCAUAUCAACGGUUUUUUUUUUUU
This 4546-nucleotide long non-coding RNA is filed under the name Panax ginseng (ginseng). Its description in RNAcentral is "long non-coding RNA (PGIN_LNC012930)". Lineage: Eukaryota; Viridiplantae; Streptophyta; Magnoliopsida; Apiales; Araliaceae. The record is from RNAcentral.